RNAcentral lists this ribosomal RNA (1024 nucleotides) under Desmophyllum pertusum. Its description in RNAcentral is "12S ribosomal RNA". It matches the Rfam family "Bacterial small subunit ribosomal RNA". Lineage: Eukaryota; Metazoa; Cnidaria; Anthozoa; Scleractinia; Caryophylliidae. The record is from RNAcentral. RNAcentral also lists the same sequence under 1 other name.
UCUUUCGGUUUGCGGGCCGUGUUUGCUGUUUUUGUAUUAAUGGUGUGUCCUUUGGUUUUGGGGAAAAUAAAGUGUUUGGUCUGGGUUAUACAUGCUAGUGGAGGCGAACAGGUGAGGAGGAAAUAAAAAAGAUUUUUUUUUAUUUUUUGUAUUAGGAAAAGAGGCGUUUUUUUCUUUUUUCCGAAGACGCAUGGUUUAACCACAUUUUCACUGAGACAAGGGAAGACUUAGCAGCAGUAAAGAAUUUUGUGCAAUAUACGAAAGUGGGACAUGGGCAGAACGAAGGAACCUGUCAAAUUAAGUGCCAGCAGACGCGGUGAAACUUAAAGGUUUGUUUUUUUUUUUAAGCAAAAAGUGUGUGAAAGGAAAGAGUUUUAAGUAAAUAGAAUUUUUUUAGUAAUGGUUAAAUGUUAAAAGAAAAAAAAAGAAUUUUCAAUGUGAAGACGAUUUAUUUUGUUCUUAGACACGAAGGCUAUGGUAAUAAACAGGAUUAGAUACCCUGGUAGUCUGUGCAGUAAACAGAAAUCGCUUGAGUAGUACGGUCGCAAGACUAAAAUUCAAAAAACUUGGCUGUUCAUUGUUAAUUAGAGGAGCGUGUUGCUUAAUUCGAUAAUCCGCGAGUUACCUUACCUAAACUGGAGCUUUUACAGGUGUUGCAUGGCCGUCGUCAAUUUAUGUUUGAGACAAAUAGGUUUAACCCUACAAAGGUUGAAGUCAGGUCUUAUUGCCUUUAUGUUUAGGGGUUAAAUGCGCUACAUUUUUUUAUUCAAAUUAAAAUAAAAGUUCGGGUGGGUCUUUGAAAAAAGAACCUCAAGUUGAAUUUAAUAGUAAUUGAAAAGUAGAGCGUUUCAAUGAAUUAAAGGCAAUGUUAGUACAAAUUGCCCGUCGCCUCUGCUAAGGUGUUCAAAGCAGAGUAAGUCGUAACAUAGUAAGGGUGAGGGAACUGGCUCUUCGGAUGCAAAAGGAUUUUUCUUUUAAAAAGAUAGUUUGACGCAUAACUAUUUUAGAAUCACUAAAAACAUAG